RNAcentral lists this ribosomal RNA (497 nucleotides) under uncultured bacterium. RNAcentral's name for it is "partial 16S ribosomal RNA". It matches the Rfam family "Bacterial small subunit ribosomal RNA", at positions 28 to 507 of the family's 1533-position model. The record is from RNAcentral.
GAUGAACGCUGGCGGCGUGCCUAAUACAUGCAAGUCGAGCGAACAGACGAGGAGCUUGCUCCUCUGACGUUAGCGGCGGACGGGUGAGUAACACGUGGAUAACCUACCUAUAAUACUGGGAUAACUUCGGGAAACCGGAUCUAAUCCCGGAUAAUAUAUUGAACCGCAUGGUUCAUUAGUGAAAGACGGUUUUGCUGUCACUUAUAGAUGGAUCCGCGCCGCAUUAGCUAGUUGGUAAGGUAACGGCUUACCAAGGCAACGAUGCGUAGCCGACCUGAGAGGGUGACCGGCCACACUGGAACUGAGACACGGUCCAGACUCCUACGGGAGGCAGCAGUAGGGAAUCUUCCGCAAUGGGCGAAAGCCUGACGGAGCAACGCCGCGUGAGUGAUGAAGGUCUUCGGAUCGUAAAACUCUGUUAUUAGGGAAGAACAAAUGUGUAAGUAACUAUGCACGUCUUGACGGUACCUAAUCAGAAAGCCACGGCUAACUACGUG